CGCUGACUGCGGCAUGCGGCUUCGACCCGGGCUGAUCCCCUGGCGCACCUUCCCCGGCGCCAGGUGACCCCGGCUCGGGUUGGAACCGGAUGCCGCAGUUCCACUUCG
Non-coding RNA from Propionibacterium acidifaciens F0233, 108 nucleotides. The record is from Rfam. Lineage: Bacteria; Bacillati; Actinomycetota; Actinomycetes; Propionibacteriales; Propionibacteriaceae.